CAGGAUGACUGCCCUAUGGGUUGUAAACUGCUUUUAUAUAGGAAGAAAAACUUUCUCGUGAGAAAGCUUGACGGUACUAUAAGAAUAAGGAUCGGCUAACUCCGUGCCAGCAGCCGCGGUAAUACGGAGGAUCCAAGCGUUAUCCGGAAUUAUUGGGUUUAAAGGGUCCGCAGGCUGUUUGUUAAGUCAGAGGUGAAAUCCUGCCGCUCAACGGUAGAACUGCCUUUGAUACUGAUAAACUUGAGUUAUUGUGAAGUAAUUAGAAUGUGUAGUGUAGCGGUGAAAUGCAUAGAUAUUACACAGAAUACCGAUUGCGAAAGCAGAUUACUAACAAUAUACUGACGCUGAGGGACGAAAGCGUAGGUAGCGAACAGGAUUAGAUACCCUGGUAGUCUACGCCGUAAACGAUGGUCACUAGCUGUUUGAUAUACAUUGGUAUGUUGAGUGGCUAAGCGAAAGUGAUAAGUGACCCACCUGGGGAGUACGCUCGCAAGAGUGAAACUCAAAGGAAUUGACGGGGGCCCGCACAAGCGGUGGAGCAUGUGGUUUAAUUCGAUGAUACGCGAGGAACCUUACCAGGACUUAAAUGUAAGUUGCAUGAUUCAGAAAUGAAUCUUUCUUCGGACUACUUACAUGGUGCUGCAUGGUUGUCGUCAGCUCGUGCCGUGAGGUGUCAGGUUAAGUCCUAUAACGAGCGCAACCCCUAUCGUUAGUUGCCAGCAAGUAAAGUUGGGAACUCUAGCGAAACUGCCGGUGCAAACCGUGAGGAAGGUGGGGAUGACGUCAAAUCAUCACGGCCCUUACGUUCUGGGCUACACACGUGCAACAAUGGCCGGUACAGAAAGCAGCCACUUUGCGAAAAGGAGCUAAUCUUCAAAGCCGGUCUCAGUUCGGAUCGCAGUCUGCAACUCGACUGCGUGAAGCUGGAAUCGCUAGUAAUCGGAUAUCAGCCAUGGUCCGGUGAAUACGUUCCCGGGCCUUGUACACACCGCCCGUCAAGCCAUGGAAGCUGGGGGUACCUAAAGUCGGUGACCGAAAGGAGCUGCCUAGGGUAAAACUAGUAACUGGGGCUAAGUCGUAACAAGGUAACC
Molecule: ribosomal RNA, 1091 nt
Filed under: uncultured bacterium
Lineage: Bacteria
Description: bacterial SSU rRNA
Rfam family: Bacterial small subunit ribosomal RNA
Source: RNAcentral